UACAGAGGGUGCGAGCGUUAAUCGGAAUUACUGGGCGUAAAGCGCACGUAGGCGGCUUGGUAUGUCGGGUGUGAAAUCCCCGGGCUCAACCUGGGAACUGCAUCCGAAACUGCCUUGCUAGAGUAUGGGAGAGGGAAGUGGAAUUUCCGGUGUAGCGGUGAAAUGCGUAGAUACCAUAAAGAACACCUAUUGCGAAGGCAGCUUACUAGGCUGUAACUGACGCUGAGGCACGAAAGUGUGGGGAUCAAACAGG
This 253-nucleotide ribosomal RNA is filed under the name uncultured bacterium. RNAcentral's name for it is "partial 16S ribosomal RNA". It matches the Rfam family "Bacterial small subunit ribosomal RNA", at positions 524 to 776 of the family's 1533-position model. The record is from RNAcentral.